This 1353-nucleotide ribosomal RNA is filed under the name Mycobacterium sp. DWMJ-1562A3. RNAcentral describes it as "bacterial SSU rRNA". It matches the Rfam family "Bacterial small subunit ribosomal RNA", at positions 82 to 1428 of the family's 1533-position model. Lineage: Bacteria; Bacillati; Actinomycetota; Actinomycetes; Mycobacteriales; Mycobacteriaceae. The record is from RNAcentral.
UCGGGGUACUCGAGUGGCGAACGGGUGAGUAACACGUGGGUGAUCUGCCCUGCACUUUGGGAUAAGCCUGGGAAACUGGGUCUAAUUUNNGACCGAAUAGGACCACGCGCUUCAUGGUGANUGUGGUGGAAAGCUUUUGCGGUGUGGGAUGGGCCCGCGGCCUGGGAUCAGCUUGUUGGUCAGGGGUAAUGGCCUACUGNCUNCAAGGCGACGACGGGUAGCCGGCCUGAGAGGGUGACCGGCCACACUGGGACUGAGAUACGGCCCAGACUCCUACGGGAGGCAGCAGUGGGGAAUAUUGCACAAUGGGCGCAAGCCUGAUGCAGCGACGCCGCGUGAGGGAUGACGGCCUUUCGGGUUGUAAACCUCUUUCAAUAGGGACGAAGCGCAAGUGACGGUACCUAUAGAAGAAGCACCGGCCAACUACGUGCCAGCAGCCGCGGUAAUACGUAGGGUGCGAGCGUUGUCCGGAAUUACUGGGCGUAAAGAGCUCGUAGGUGGUUUGUCGCGUUGUUCGUGAAAACUCACAGCUUAACUGUGGGCGUGCGGGCGAUACGGGCAGACUAGAGUACUGCAGGGGAGACUGGAAUUCCUGGUGUAGCGGUGGAAUGCGCAGAUAUCAGGAGGAACACCGGUGGCGAAGGCGGGUCUCUGGGCAGUAACUGACGCUGAGGAGCGAAAGCGUGGGGAGCGAACAGGAUUAGAUACCCUGGUAGUCCACGCCGUAAACGGUGGGUACUAGGUGUGGGUUCCUUCCUUGGGAUCCGUGCCGUAGCUAACGCAUUAAGUACCCCGCCUGGGGAGUACGGCCGCAAGGCUAAAACUCAAAGGAAUUGACGGGGGCCCGCACAAGCGGCGGAGCAUGUGGAUUAAUUCGAUGCAACGCGAAGAACCUUACCUGGGUUUGACAUGCACAGGACGCCGGCAGAGAUGUCGGUUCCCUUGUGGCCUGUGUGCAGGUGGUGCAUGGCUGUCGUCAGCUCGUGUCGUGAGAUGUUGGGUUAAGUCCCGCAACGAGCGCAACCCUUGUCCUAUGUUGCCAGCGGGUUAUGCCGGGGACUCGUAGGAGACUGCCGGGGUCAACUCGGAGGAAGGUGGGGGAUGACGUCAAGUCAUCAUGCCCCUUAUGUCCAGGGCUUCACACAUGCUACAAUGGCCGGUACAAAGGGCUGCGAUGCCGUGAGGUGGAGCGAAUCCUUUCAAAGCCGGUCUCAGUUCGGAUCGGGGUCUGCAACUCGACCCCGUGAAGUCGGAGUCGCUAGUAAUCGCAGAUCAGCAACGCUGCGGUGAAUACGUUCCCGGGCCUUGUACACACCGCCCGUCACGUCAUGAAAGUCGGUAACACCCGAAGCC